GCCAGGAGAUAAACAAACAUGGCUGACUGCAAGUCCAGGCCUCAGCUGCUGUAAAGGUGCAGAGUUACACCCGAUUCAAAUGUACGGUGGCCCAGACGGGUCACCAAUGCCAGAACAUAAGAAUAUGUGAUUAUAUACGGGGUUGAGUGGAAAGCAGCAGCAGCGGCUCAGUUUGCCCAAAUGAUUCAGGGAACAAGGAAAAAACGCAGCAAGCAAAGAGAGCAAGUUUGGUUUGAAAUGAGAAUUAAACCAGAACAAAGCAACCCUGGUUCUGCUUUCCUCCCGCUCUGCUGGUUAGCCUCGCGUUUCCACUUCCACGCCGCUCUUUCAACCCACUCUGUGGAUAUUUGUUCAGCUUACGCUGCACUUCGGUGAAAGGACUGAAUAAAUGGAACCAUGGACUUCA
This is a non-coding RNA of Poecilia reticulata (guppy), 406 nucleotides long. The record is from RefSeq and is a predicted model, not a curated record. Lineage: Eukaryota; Metazoa; Chordata; Actinopteri; Cyprinodontiformes; Poeciliidae.